CGUACACUCCUACGGGAGGCAGCAGUGGGGAAUAUUGCACAAUGGGCGCAAGCCUGAUGCAGCCAUGCCGCGUGUAUGAAGAAGGCCUUCGGGUUGUAAAGUACUUUCAGCGGGGAGGAAGGCGAUAAGGUUAAUAACCUUGUCGAUUGACGUUACCCGCAGAAGAAGCACCGGCUAACUCCGUGCCAGCAGCCGCGGUAAUACGGAGGGUGCAAGCGUUAAUCGGAAUUACUGGGCGUAAAGCGCACGCAGGCGGUCUGUCAAGUCGGAUGUGAAAUCCCCGGGCUCAACCUGGGAACUGCAUUCGAAACUGGCAGGCUAGAGUCUUGUAGAGGGGGGUAGAAUUCCAGGUGUAGCGGUGAAAUGCGUAGAGAUCUGGAGGAAUACCGGUGGCGAAGGCGGCCCCCUGGACAAAGACUGACGCUCAGGUGCGAAAGCGUGGGGAGCAAACAGGAUGAGAUACCCCUGUAGUCCCAUGAU
Molecule: ribosomal RNA, 480 nt
Filed under: uncultured organism
Description: partial 16S ribosomal RNA
Rfam family: Bacterial small subunit ribosomal RNA
Source: RNAcentral